UACGUAGGUGGCAAGCGUUGUCCGGAUUUAUUGGGUUUAAAGGGUGCGUAGGCGGCCCUGUAAGUCAGUGCUGAAAUAUCCCAGCUUAACUGGGAGGGUGGCAUCGAUACUGCGGGGCUAGAGUACAGAUGAGGUAGGCGGAAUUGACGGUGUAGCGGUGAAAUGCUUAGAUAUCGUCAAGAACACCUAUAGCGAAGGCAGCUUACUAGGCUGUAACUGACGCUGAGGCACGAAAGUGUGGGGAUCAAACAGG
This 253-nucleotide ribosomal RNA is filed under the name uncultured bacterium. Its description in RNAcentral is "partial 16S ribosomal RNA". It matches the Rfam family "Bacterial small subunit ribosomal RNA", at positions 524 to 776 of the family's 1533-position model. The record is from RNAcentral.